This 253-nucleotide ribosomal RNA is filed under the name uncultured bacterium. Its description in RNAcentral is "partial 16S ribosomal RNA". It matches the Rfam family "Bacterial small subunit ribosomal RNA", at positions 524 to 776 of the family's 1533-position model. The record is from RNAcentral.
UACAGAGGUCUCAAGCGUUGUUCGGAUUCAUUGGGCGUAAAGGGUGCGUAGGCGGCGCGGUAAGUCGGGUGUGAAAUCUCGGAGCUUAACUCCGAAACUGCAUUCGAUACUGCCGUGCUUGAGGACUGGAGAGGAGACUGGAAUUUACGGUGUAGCGGUGAAAUGCGUAGAUAUCGUAAGGAAGACCAGUGGCGAAGGCGGGUCUUUGGACAGUUCCUGACGCUGAGGCACGAAGGCCAGGGGAGCAAACGGG